RNAcentral lists this unclassified non-coding RNA (278 nucleotides) under Basidiomycota sp. RNAcentral's name for it is "partial contains small subunit ribosomal RNA, internal transcribed spacer 1, and 5.8S ribosomal RNA". The stretch from base 1 to 47 matches the Rfam family "Eukaryotic small subunit ribosomal RNA", at positions 1785 to 1831 of the family's 1831-position model. The record is from RNAcentral. Lineage: Eukaryota; Fungi; Basidiomycota.
AAAGUCGUAACAAGGUUUCCGUAGGUGAACCUGCGGAAGGAUCAUUAACGUAUCUAAGGCGUCCGAACCGCGCCCUGCUCCCGCCGAAAGGCCGUGCAGCGGGCGUCGGCCCGGCGUCUAAACCUUCACAAACCCACUGUGCACCUUCACGGCAGAGGCUUGCGGGCGAGAGCCCGUUGGCCGAAGCCGUCCCUACAAAACACUAGUAACCAAGAAUGUCAAGCGACUCUGUCGCCCAUUAAACAUAACAACUUUCAACAACGGAUCUCUUGGCUCUC